UUCUUUUGAUUCUACAGAAGGAGUUUGCCAAGAUGAUUUUUAUUAUAUAUUUCCUCUAAAAAGACAUUUCCCCGGUCUUCACCUGGCUUCUGUUACAGGCAGCAGUGUACUUUGAUGGCCAAGUGGCUGAGAAGUACUACAUCUGUGACAAACAUUUCUGGUUGCUGCAGGAAUUCUGUCCAGUGACUUCCAUAACAGGGGUGCUAAAGGCCAACUUCUGCUCUUUUGAAGAUUAAGAGGUCUGAAUCAAAUCUGACCCAUCACACAAGACUCCUAAGAAUUCUGUUGUCACUAAAAGAUAUGAUGUGUAGAAGACUCCCAUGUGGAUCUGGCAAACUUGCUUCUAGGCUGUGAGCCAGCUAUCCUUGAGCGCUGGAGAAGUCCAGAAGUCCCAGUUCAAAUGAGAGUGUCUCUGAUGCAUUAUAUGGUAUGCAUGGCAUCCUCUACAAUCAGAAUGGGAUGGUUCCUUCACAGAGAUAUUUUCUCCGGAGUUCUCUCUCCAGGACAUGCAAUGUUUUAACAAAGAACAGGACGACCAUCUUUGUCUCUCUCCUGGAACAUGAUCAAACAGCCUUUCCAGAAACAAAUGGACAAAGAUUUGGGGCUUCAGAUGAGGAGAUUUUCUUUCUUCCAAGCCCUUGGAUCUCCUUUGCAGAUCCAUUGCUAUAUAAAUGAUGAAUAUAAAUCUGAAUAAAAAUAUCACCCAGCUG
Gallus gallus (chicken) is the source of this 710-nucleotide long non-coding RNA. RefSeq lists it as uncharacterized. NCBI's taxonomy places the organism in Eukaryota, Metazoa, Chordata, Aves, Galliformes, Phasianidae. The record is from RefSeq and is a predicted model, not a curated record. The transcript is spliced from 7 exons.